CCAGCGGGUCAGGCAGCAUCUCUGGAGAAAAGGAAUAGGUGACGUUUUGGGUCGCGGCCAUUCUUCAGACUGAGAGUCAGGGAAGAGGGAAAUAAGAGACAUAGAAGGUACAGAUCAGAUGAAUGAAAGAUAUGC
Long non-coding RNA from Amblyraja radiata (thorny skate), 135 nucleotides. RefSeq lists it as uncharacterized. The transcript has 2 exons. The record is from RefSeq and is a predicted model, not a curated record. Lineage: Eukaryota; Metazoa; Chordata; Chondrichthyes; Rajiformes; Rajidae.